AGAGUUUGAUCAUGGCUCAGAUUGAACGCUGGCGGCAGGCCUAACACAUGCAAGUCGAGCGAGACCUUCGGGUCUAGCGGCGGACGGGUGAGUAACGCGUGGGAACGUGCCCUUCUCUACGGAAUAGCCCCGGGAAACUGGGAGUAAUACCGUAUACGCCCUUUGGGGGAAAGAUUUAUCGGAGAAGGAUCGGCCCGCGUUGGAUUAGGUAGUUGGUGAGGUAACGGCUCACCAAGCCGACGAUCCAUAGCUGGUUUGAGAGGAUGAUCAGCCACACUGGGACUGAGACACGGCCCAGACUCCUACGGGAGGCAGCAGUGGGGAAUCUUAGACAAUGGGGGCAACCCUGAUCUAGCCAUGCCGCGUGAGUGAUGAAGGCCUUAGGGUUGUAAAGCUCUUUCAGCUGGGAAGAUAAUGACGGUACCAGCAGAAGAAGCCCCGGCUAACUCCGUGCCAGCAGCCGCGGUAAUACGGAGGGGGCUAGCGUUGUUCGGAAUUACUGGGCGUAAAGCGCACGUAGGCGGACUGGAAAGUCAGAGGUGAAAUCCCAGGGCUCAACCUUGGAACUGCCUUUGAAACUAUCAGUCUGGAGUUCGAGAGAGGUGAGUGGAAUUCCGAGUGUAGAGGUGAAAUUCGUAGAUAUUCGGAGGAACACCAGUGGCGAAGGCGGCUCACUGGCUCGAUACUGACGCUGAG
Molecule: ribosomal RNA, 696 nt
Filed under: uncultured Pseudomonadota bacterium
Lineage: Bacteria; Pseudomonadati; Pseudomonadota
Description: bacterial SSU rRNA
Rfam family: Bacterial small subunit ribosomal RNA
Source: RNAcentral